RNAcentral lists this ribosomal RNA (950 nucleotides) under uncultured Salegentibacter sp. RNAcentral describes it as "bacterial SSU rRNA". It matches the Rfam family "Bacterial small subunit ribosomal RNA", at positions 543 to 1501 of the family's 1533-position model. The record is from RNAcentral. Lineage: Bacteria; Pseudomonadati; Bacteroidota; Flavobacteriia; Flavobacteriales; Flavobacteriaceae.
AUCCGGAAUCAUUGGGUUUAAAGGGUCCGUAGGCGGGAAGGUCAGUCAGUGGUGAAAGUCUGUGGCUCAACCAUAGAAUUGCCAUUGAAACUGCUUUCCUUGAGUUGUCGUGAAGUGGUUGGAACAUGUAGUGUAGCGGUGAAAUGCAUAGAUAUUACAUAGAACACCUAUUGCGAAGGCAGAUCACUAACGAUAUACUGACGCUGAUGGACGAAAGCGUGGGUAGCGAACAGGAUUAGAUACCCUGGUAGUCCACGCCGUAAACGAUGGUCACUAGCUGUCCGGUGCGCAUUGGCGUGCUGGGUGGCCAAGCGAAAGUGAUAAGUGACCCACCUGGGGAGUACGUUCGCAAGAAUGAAACUCAAAGGAAUUGACGGGGGCCCGCACAAGCGGUGGAGCAUGUGGUUUAAUUCGAUGAUACGCGAGGAACCUUACCAGGGCUUAAAUGCAGUCCGACAUCCCGGGAAACCGGGACUCCUUCGGGCGGAUUGCAAGGUGCUGCAUGGUUGUCGUCAGCUCGUGCCGUGAGGUGUCAGGUUAAGUCCUAUAACGAGCGCAACCCCUGUUGUUAGUUGCCAGCACGUGAUGGUGGGAACUCUAGCAAGACUGCCGGUGCAAACCGUGAGGAAGGUGGGGACGACGUCAAAUCAUCACGGCCCUUACGUCCUGGGCCACACACGUGCUACAAUGGUGGGGACAGAGAGCAGCCACUUCGCAAGAAGGAGCGAAUCUACAAACCCCAUCACAGUUCGGAUCGGGGUCUGCAACCCGACCCCGUGAAGCUGGAAUCGCUAGUAAUCGCAUAUCAGCCAUGAUGCGGUGAAUACGUUCCCGGGCCUUGUACACACCGCCCGUCAAGCCAUGGAAGCCGGGGGUGCCUGAAGUCCGUUGCCGCAAGGAGCGGCCUAGGGCAAAACCGGUAACUGGGGCUAAGUCGUAACAAGGUAGCA